AUUCCCCUAGUAACUGCGAGUGAAGCGGGAAAAGCUCAAAUUUAAAAUCUGGCAGUCUUUGGCUGUCCGAGUUGUAAUCUAGAGAAGUAUUAUCCGCGCUGGACCGUGUACAAGUCUCCUGGAAUGGGGCGUCAUAGAGGGUGAGAAUCCCGUCUUUGACACGGACUGCCAGGGCUUUGUGAUGUGCUCUCAAAGAGUCGAGUUGUUUGGGAAUGCAGCUCAAAAUGGGUGGUAAAUUCCAUCUAAAGCUAAAUAUUGGCGAGAGACCGAUAGCGAACAAGUACCGUGAGGGAAAGAUGAAAAGAACUUUGGAAAGAGAGUUAAACAGUACGUGAAAUUGCUGAAAGGGAAACGCUUGAAGUCAGUCACGUUGGCCAGGGAUCAACCUUGCUUUUUUGCUUGGCUUACUUUCUGGUUGAUGGGUCAGCAUCAAUUUUGACUGGUGGAAAAAGUUCAAGGGAAUGUGGCAUCUUCGGAUGUGUUAUAGCCUUUGUUCGCAUACACUGGUUGGGAUUGAGGAACUCAGCAUGCCGCAAGGCCGGGUUUUUAACCACGUACGUGCUUAGGAUGCUGGCAUAAUGGCUUUAAUCGACCCGUCUUGAAACACGGACCAAGGAGUCUAACAUGCCUGCGAGUGUUUGGGUGAAAAACCCGAGCGCGUAAUGAAAGUGAAAGUUGAGAUCCCUGUCGUGGGGAGCAUUGACGCCCGGAUCUGACCUUUUGUGACGAUUCUGCGGUAGAGCAUGUAUGUUGGGACCCGAAAGAUGGUGAACUAUGCCUGAAUAGGGUGAAGCCAGAGGAAACUCUGGUGGAGGCUCGUAGCGAUUCUGACGUGCAAAUCGAUCGUCAAAUUUGGGUAUAGGGGCGAAAGACUAAUCG
Molecule: ribosomal RNA, 879 nt
Filed under: Laccaria amethystina
Lineage: Eukaryota; Fungi; Basidiomycota; Agaricomycetes; Agaricales; Hydnangiaceae
Description: LSU rRNA
Rfam family: Eukaryotic large subunit ribosomal RNA
Source: RNAcentral